RNAcentral lists this long non-coding RNA (671 nucleotides) under Lathyrus oleraceus (garden pea). RNAcentral describes it as "Pisum sativum (pea) long non-coding RNA (PSAT_LNC030654)". Lineage: Eukaryota; Viridiplantae; Streptophyta; Magnoliopsida; Fabales; Fabaceae. The record is from RNAcentral.
AAUGGACAAUAAUCCUUCAUUGAAGCUUAUUAUAAGUCAGUGGAAUCAUGACCCUGAACGAGUCCCCAAAACAUUAAACAUAAACACCUGUGUGAUGCCUACCAAGCCUGUACAACAAGACCAGCAGGGAUACCUAAACGUCACAUACUUAACAUGGUCAAUGCAGAUCAAAGUCCAUUAGCAAUAGCUAACCAUUCAUCUUACCCAAUGCAGCAAGCCAAAGCAUAAUGACAAAUAGUCCAAGCAACCAUGCAAACUCAGUCCCUACAUCAGCCUAGCAAAUAACCAUUUAACUGUUAACACAGGCAUCCUGCAGACCUGAAGAAACAGAAAAAUGGACAGCAAAACAUCAUAAACCAAAAUGAAACCUAUAGAGAAGACAUGGAAAAGAUGUUGAACCAUAUGGCAAUGUUGAAAAUCGAGCACAAUUCAGAGGGCAUACCAUAACCACAUGCUGAAGAAAUCAAUCAGGAAAUGGACAUUGAACAUGCUGCAAAACCAGUGCACCAUAAGUCAACAGGUUGUUGUGUAAAGAUCCAUUUGGUUAAGCUAACAAUGCUCAAGGAUUUUCUAACCUGCAAUGAGGCCUUUAAACCAAGCUGAAAGUCUUGUUGCAACACACCAAGUCACAAGGCAAACUUCAGGUAAGCAUUAUGGAAGCCAAAACUUAU